GUCUGUGAUGCCAUGUCUCGGAUCAUGGAUUCGAAUCCAAAUGUUACUCUGGAACAACUGUGUAACGAAAAAUUCGUCGAACUUGUGAAACAACUGGUUGGAACGUCUGCUCCACCAAAUAUUCAAUUUUUUUUCACCGAUGGGGCAAUACAUAUGUU
This 158-nucleotide non-coding RNA is filed under the name Thalassionema nitzschioides. The record is from RNAcentral. Lineage: Eukaryota; Bacillariophyta; Fragilariophyceae; Thalassionematales; Thalassionemataceae.